CUCUCCCAUCGCACCCCCCCUCCUGCAACCCUAACUCAGAUCCCAUCGAACACCUCCUCCUCCCGCAAUCCUAACUCUGAUCUCCUUGCCGCCACCAUCUUCUCGUCCCCAUCUACUCGCCGCCGCCACCUACGGCGCCGGACACGACGUCCCGCACCGAGCCCAACAAACCCUCGCGCGCCCCAGCCCUUGUUCGCCGACGCGGCCAUGGCAGGAUCCUCCCUCCUCAAGCCAGCCCGAUCCUCCCCUCGAUCUCGUCGGAGCUAGCGGAGAUUGGGCCGCGGCAAUUCCCCUCCCCACCCAGCCAUAAAGCCAUGCCCAAAUCAAGCCUCCCCCUCCUCAGCCGCACCCACCCCCAUCCCCACUCCAAUCGCGCCGCCUGCCCUCGUCGACCACUCCUCCGCCCCGCCGAGUCACCGCACACUGCCGCGGUGCCGUCGCCGUGGAUGGGAUGUGCGGCGGCCGUCCCCCCAGCGUCAAACUCCUGCAGAUGGAGACGGCCUGCGGCGCCCUCAUGCACGAGCUUCAGGUGUGCCCGCGGUCUGCCAGCGACCAGGACGAUGCCGACGGCCUCCACAGUUGCUCCUUCUUAACAUUCGCGCGCCAGGAGAGGAGCCUCCGACCCCGACGCCAUGGAAGGUCCCCUCCCAUCUCCUCUCUCUGCUCGUUUCCAGAAAGGACAUCAUUUGUGCUAGCGAGUUGCCGCAGGAGAACAAAUCACGUCCUGCACUUCCUCCUAGUCUCCCAAGGCUUCUUGAUAUGUACACUACCAUUUUUAGAGGCUUAAUAGGACUGGUUGCUGCUCAAGCCACUUAUGGCCAAGGGGAGAACAUUGAGUUCAUGCUCCAAGAGCUUAAGAAUGAAGUCUUAUAUUAAGUUACUGACCCUAACUGUAAGACUAAAUGCAUGUGGAGACGCAUGAUUAAUGUUGGGACACCCAUUACUUACAUGGGACUAGAUUAUGCAUUUCAUAUGGGCAUGUUCGAUUAAUUAGGAUGCAAGUAUGUAACAGGAAUCCUAUCUGUGAGCUAGGUUUCUUUGCUUUGCUUUUCCUGUGAGUAGUACGUAUAUCUUAAUUAGUAUAGUAGCUUGUGGGCUAAUGGAGAAGUACGGUGGACGUGGCAACCAUAUAGGUGUCUAUCCUUUUGGUGAGCACCUGACAUAAUAACAGAGUGCUGCCUAAGCUAAUUACCUGGGCCAUUGCAACUGAUUGAGUGUCAUUGCAGAUGCAUAUUCUAGUUGAGAUGGUGACUUAACUAGACCACAUCUGCAUGCUUGUUACCAGGGAAGGCAUGAUCCUGUCACUAACACUGUCCAUUACCCCAUCUAUCUACAGCCAAGAAACUACAUAGCAGUUUACUAAAUUGAAAAAUUCUUAGACCGUUCGAUAAUUCAGCAAAUUCAGAUCCAAAGAAGCAGUUCAGUAAUUUAGUAAACUGAAUAAUUAUUAGACCGUUCAGAAAAACUAAGAUCGUUGAACGCUAGACCGUUCAAUAAUUCAGCAAAUUCAGACCCAAAGAACCAUUCAUGCAUUUACACAAUCAUGGUUUCCUCUGCUGUUUGUAAUUGUUCUAGUUAAUUAUGCUAGUAGAUAUCGUGUGGGAUCUGUAGCUGGUGUCUGUUGUGUCAUGUCCUCUUUGACGAGUUCAUUCAUUGAAAAAUAUUUCUUGAUGAGCUGCUUUCUGUCCAAAUGCAUACUAUUAUUAAGUCACGAUCAGUUAGCAAAUUUACAUGUACGCUCCAUUGUUUGUUAAGGUUUAGUAGCUAUUGUGCAAAAUUGGUAGUGAUUCUAUCGGUGAACAAGUAGGGUAAAUAUGUCACUGUAAAUCUGUAAAAUAGCUUCUUUAUAUUUUUGUCUCGCAUGUUCAGUGUUGUGUGUCUGGCAUGUUCAUAGAGCCACUUGUGGAGUGAGAUGAGAAUAACAAUUAUAAUUCUGUAAUGUUUGAUCGUAUAUACAUAUGCAAAAGUUGCUUGUGCAUUAUCGCUAGUUUUGGUUGCUGCUUUACUAAUAACUAUGAACACAAUAGUAUGUUUGUGAUCUUAUUGACUUGCAACUUUACCAUUUACAGAACCAUCAUCUUAUUUUAUUUUUUUCAUGUACAACUCGCCAAAAGAAGGUUGUGAAGAUAUUCCCAUGCCAGACAUUUGGAUCUCUUUGCCCCAUUGUGCAAUGUUGGUUGGAUGGCAGGGCCAGCUCUAAAUGUUGGUUGGAUGCAAGAGAGGAACUGUACUUGAUCCUCUGCUCGGCCAGCCCGUGGACGACCACUACUUCCUCGAGAAAGACCGGCAUCGCUAUCGACACUCAGCUGGUCGUAGCAGAAGUCAAUAAACAGAAGAUGGAAACCGGCAAAGAUGCAGAUAGAUGGUGGACAUAUGAGAGAGGUGAUGGGAUAAAGAACGACUGUCGGCGACACUUGGCCAGAAGAAGAGAGCUAAGAACGAGGGGGUUCGGAGAGCGCCGCAGCUUGACUGCGGUCCUCAUGGCUCCUAAUAAUCCAUCAGCUGCUAGCGGCGCUACUAUAGCUAAUUGUGAUUUGCAGUUUCUAUCAGCCUUUUGUGUAUGCAGUUUCCCCGUUAUUUUCUAAAAACUUGUCUAUGAUAAUUUCUAACAUACAAUAAUUGUGAAUUUGUGAUAGAUAAUUGGUUUAAAUUAUACUUUACACACUUU
This is an RNA transcript of Triticum aestivum (bread wheat), 2668 nucleotides long. RefSeq lists it as uncharacterized. The record is from RefSeq and is a predicted model, not a curated record. The transcript has 3 exons. Lineage: Eukaryota; Viridiplantae; Streptophyta; Magnoliopsida; Poales; Poaceae.